UUAUGAUCAAAAUUCGAGUAG
This 21-nucleotide non-coding RNA is filed under the name Caenorhabditis elegans. The record is from RNAcentral. Lineage: Eukaryota; Metazoa; Nematoda; Chromadorea; Rhabditida; Rhabditidae.